UACGUAGGCAGCGAGCGUUGUUCGGAGUUACUGGGCGUAAAGCGUGCGUAGGCGGUGGCCUAAGUCUGGUGUGAAAUCUCCCGGCUCAACCGGGAGGGUGCGCCGGAAACUGGGCUGCUGGAGUACGGGAGAGGCAAGCGGAAUUCCUGGUGUAGCGGUGAAAUGCGUAGAUAUCAGGAGGAACACCCGUGGUGCAGACGGCUUGCUGGACCGUGACUGACGCUGAGGCACGAAAGCGUGGGUAGCAAACAGG
Molecule: ribosomal RNA, 253 nt
Filed under: uncultured Acidobacteriota bacterium
Lineage: Bacteria; Pseudomonadati; Acidobacteriota
Description: uncultured Acidobacteria bacterium partial 16S ribosomal RNA
Rfam family: Bacterial small subunit ribosomal RNA
Source: RNAcentral